This 96-nucleotide microRNA precursor is filed under the name Chlorocebus sabaeus (green monkey). RNAcentral describes it as "miRNA (ENSCSAG00000024405.1)". Lineage: Eukaryota; Metazoa; Chordata; Mammalia; Primates; Cercopithecidae. The record is from RNAcentral.
UUUCCAUAUCGGUGCAAAAGUAAUUGCGGUUUUUGCCAAUUACUUUUAAUGGCAAAACUGAAAUUCGUUUUGCACCAACCGAAUACAAGCUAAAUA